CACGUAGGGUGCGAGCGUUGUCCGGAAUUAUUGGGCGUAAAGGGCUCGUAGGCGGUUUGUCGCGUCGGGAGUGAAAACACGGGGCUUAACCCCGUGCCUGCUUCCGAUACGGGCAGACUAGAGGUAUGCAGGGGAGAACGGAAUUCCUGGUGUAGCGGUGAAAUGCGCAGAUAUCAGGAGGAACACCGGUGGCGAAGGCGGUUCUCUGGGCAUUACCUGACGCUGAGGAGCGAAAGUGUGGGGAGCGAACAGG
RNAcentral lists this ribosomal RNA (253 nucleotides) under uncultured bacterium. RNAcentral's name for it is "partial 16S ribosomal RNA". It matches the Rfam family "Bacterial small subunit ribosomal RNA", at positions 524 to 776 of the family's 1533-position model. The record is from RNAcentral.